This 674-nucleotide small RNA is filed under the name Histoplasma capsulatum. Its description in RNAcentral is "hypothetical RNA". RNAcentral also lists the same sequence under 1 other name. The record is from RNAcentral. Lineage: Eukaryota; Fungi; Ascomycota; Eurotiomycetes; Onygenales; Ajellomycetaceae.
CUGCUAAUCUAUCACUGCUGCCAACCUAUCUACCGCUGCCAACCUACCUACCGCUGCCAACCUAUCUACCACUGCCAACCUACCUACCGCUGCCAACCUACCUACCACUGCUAAUCUAUCACUGCUAAUCUAUCGCUGCUAAUCUAUUGCUGCUAAUCUAUCGCUGCUAAUCUAUUGCUGCUAAUCUAUCUAUCACUGCUAAUCUACCGCUGCCAACCUACCUACCGCUGCCAAUCUACCUACCGCUGCCAACCUACCUACCACUGCUAAUCUAUCACUGCUAAUCUAUCACUGCCAACCUAUAUAGGGUAAAUCAUGGUCCCAUUUGGUCCCAUUUUGUAAAAUGGGACCAAAUGGGACUGGGACCACUAAUUUAUUAGUAAAACAUGAUCUGGGACUAGAUUUAUAAUAUAAACAGUGUAAAGUGACUAAUUUACUAAACACUAUAUGGGACCAGGACUAAGAUAUCUAAUAAUGGGACUGAGGAAAAAUUUGGUCCCAGUCCCAUGCAUGGUCACACAGCCAGUCUAUCAAUGACUGAAUAUUCAGAGUAUAAAAUUAUACAGUAUUAUUGUCUGAGAAUUCUACUGACUGAAUAUAUCAAAAAAUGUACAUUGAUUUAUAUAUAAUUAUGAUUGCUGCAGCUCAGUGACAGCAUGAUAUAAAUACUGAAA